UUUACUACACUAUUUGAUUAUUUGAGUUCUGUUUAGUCAGAAAAGUUAUUUGGCAGUACUAAAGGCAAGUUGUAUUUUUUACAGUGUGUCGAAGAAUAUCCC
Molecule: long non-coding RNA, 102 nt
Organism: Alosa sapidissima (American shad)
Lineage: Eukaryota; Metazoa; Chordata; Actinopteri; Clupeiformes; Clupeidae
Exons: 3
Source: RefSeq, a predicted model, not a curated record